This is a long non-coding RNA of Myiozetetes cayanensis, 898 nucleotides long. RefSeq lists it as uncharacterized. NCBI's taxonomy places the organism in Eukaryota, Metazoa, Chordata, Aves, Passeriformes, Tyrannidae. The record is from RefSeq and is a predicted model, not a curated record. The transcript has 5 exons.
CUCAGCAAGUUUUUGGAUGAAACCAAAAUGAAUGGUACAGUUGAUACACCAUCCAGAUGGACCUUGACAGGCUGGAGGAGCAUGACUGCAUGACUCUCAUGAACUUCAACAAGAGGGAAAAUGUCAUAGAAGCCACACAGAGAGAAGGAUAUUGAUUUUCCUUGGAAGACAAUUGUGCACAAGUGAGAUGGGCAGUGAUGAAGGGAAGGGAAGUGAUUCAAGAUAUCUAUGUAUUCAUCUUGCUUCAUUUCUGAGAUAAAUACAGAAGACAGAGACAAAUCAUUCGAUUCUGAAUCCAGCUACAAGAGAGAAACCUACUUAGUAAAAAAUAUUCAAUAACAAUCUUGCCUGUAUCUCAGAUUCCAGGAACCUCUGGAUCAAAAACCUGCAUUCCAUUUUUUCCCCAAAACAGACAAGAAGGUACCUUGAAAUACAGAUGAAAGUCACAGCCCCUGCUGAAACUUCUUGUGGUCAAGGAGUAACAAAAAAAACCCCUUUAAAUACACACUUCUUCGUGGGACCUGUUUCUGUGGAAGAUUUCGUCUAUCAAACCUCACCAAUUUAAAAGGUCUUUUAAAAUUAAGUCAGAAGUUUGGAAUUGAAAACAAAUGGCAUAAAUUCCCUAUUUUGCUUAAAUAAAUAAAUAAAAGUCUUUUUAAAAAGUGACUAAUGUUACAGGCCUGUACAUGUUUGUGUUUAGUGUUAAAUCUGUCCCAUUGAAAUAACUGAUGUUCUCAAUAAAGAAAUGAGUUUAGACAACAGUUACAGAAAGUUGGAAACAAGAAGAUUGAACAAGAACUACUGUCCAAGUCAUGUAAACAAAACUAUGAAAUAUAUUGGUCAACUUAAGUGGGGAUGGUAUAUAAGCAAAAUUUUUUGUGUUAGUGUGGAAAUAACA